CGCGGUCGGCCCACAGGCUGGGCACUAACGGGUCCCGGGGCGCCGGGGCGGACUGCGGCGGUCGUAGUGGACUAAUUUUACAGGCGAAGUUAAGUGACUUACCCAAAACCUCACAGCUAAUAAACGGCAGAGCCGGCACCCAGCUGUACUGGCUUCCAGCGCAUCCCAUUAUCUCCAUAAAUCCCCCUGAUUCAACUAAUAUUAGACGCCCCACAGAGAAUUCAAAGGGUUGUCAAGACAGCCAGACGGACAUGGACACUAAUAAGUUAGAAAUAAAGGUUUUGUAAUAUGGGAAAGAGGACUGAGCUAGAAAAUAGACUCAUAGAUAAUCAGCCUAGGAGUGAUAUUGCUGUGAGAUAAAAGAAGAAAACAAAGUCAGAAUCUUGGAAAACACCCUCUUCAGAGUCUCGCUGCUCAAAACGUGGUCAGUGGCCCAGCAGCACUGACAUGAGGACCUUAGUUGGAAACUCAGAAUCUCAGGCUCCACCCCAGACCUGCUGAACCAGCAUCUUCAACUUAACAAGAACCCGAAGAGAUUUGUGCCACAUCAAAAAGUUUGAGAAGCUCUGAUCUAGGUGAGCCAAGCCAGCAAAGAAAGGGGGUGGAGCAGAAAAUGGGAGGAGAAUAGGGUAAUGCAGAAUCAUCAAGACAAGGUAAAUUGGACUUUCACAAAAACGGGGCUGGAAGGAGUGUUGCUCAACAAUAUCCAAAACCACAGAGGUUGAAAAGCACAAGGAAAGAAGCUGGACCCUGGACACGGUGACUCUGAUUCAAUUAUGCAGAUGACCACAAGCCUCUGGGGUUGGCAGAGCCACAAGAAAGAAGGUGCCUGGAUGAAGGAGAGCUACCCACUGACCUGGACACCCAAUUAUUCAUCUGUCUUAGAGCUAUUGGAAUCCUGGAUCAUUGUGGGAAAUGAAAAGAACUGGUUUUUAGCAAGGAGACCAAGAAACUCUACUCCCUAGGGGCUAGCAAUGAGAGAAAGGAAGCCUUGAGUCUUUGAGCACAGGGUGACAGUUUGGGUCCUAUGUGAGAUGAUCAAAUCCACAGCAACAGAGGAAAGGACAAAAGGAAAAGAUACUUCGAUGGAAUCAGCAGCCAUUGAUCCAAUGCCAACUCCAAGACUGGAACGUCGCAAUGAUAGUUCCAAGGCGGAAAUUUGACGUAAUUCUUUUCGACACAGUUUUACAGGUCUGGAUGCCCAUUUUAAUUCUUCUGAAAGCAUGCCUCCUUCUGGCUUCAGGACUCCAUCUCCAGCCUUAUGAUCUAAAAAUAAUCCCCAAACCAAAAAAUUAGAUAUUAUUUCCUCAAAAUUAGGUGUUUUAAUCAAAACAUCUUAACAUAAAUACAUUAUUAUCACCCAAUAUGCAUAAUGUUGUUCAACUUUUUUGUUAAAUGACUUAUUUUAGAUGAACAGAUGUGUGAAUAUGAAUAUUUUUAUUUCACUUACAGGCAUCUUGCAUGUGAAUAACUCACAACUUUAAUUCAUGGAACAAAUUGAGAAAUAGUCUUUUGGGGGUUUGGUACUCCCUGGAAACAUAAGAGUGCUUUGGGCACCUCUGGUGCCUUUCCAUGCCUGCCUUCUCUGCUGUUCUUGCUACUAGUGAAUUCUAAAUCAUGGCCAAGUGAUGCCAGCACUGGAUAAUAUUGGCUCUGCCCCAUAUCUCGAGGGAAAACUCUGGGACUUGGCAUUAUAUGUGUGGGAAUCUGGCCUUGGUUGGCACUCCCAGCAUGAUAGCAGGGUUCUGCUGUCUGAAUGUACUCUGGGGUGUGCGCCACAAUUUCUGUCAUCGAAAUGGAGAUGAGAGAAUAUGCCCUUGGUGGGGACACCCCACUGGAAUUAGAGUGAAGAGAUCAAAGCUAGAGGUUCUUAAAUCAAAGAAUGUCUAAUAGCAAAGACAAAAACUUGCUUAAGAGAAAUGCAUACAGGUACUAGACCUAAUAUGAUGAAAAAUGCUAACUUCAACAUAUUGAUGCAUGCUUAGUAUACUUUUAGUCCUGCAAAGACAAAAGUUUUUUGUUUGUUUUUUUUUGAGACGGAGUCUCGCUCUGUCGCCCAGGUUGGAGUGCAGUGGUGUGAUCUCGGCUUACUGCAAGCUCUGCCUCCUGGGUUCACACCAUUCUCCUGCCUCAGCCUCCGGAGUAGCUGGGACUACAGGCGCCCGCCACCACGCCCGGCUAAUUUUUUGUAUUUUUAGUAGAGAUGGGGUUUCACCGUGUUAGCCAGGAUGGUCUCGAUCUCCUGACCUCAGGUGAUCCGCCUGCCUUGGCCUCCCAAAGUGCUGGGAUUACAGGCAUGAGCCACCGCACCUGGCCCAGUCCUGCCAAGACAAAGUUUUAAAACACAGGUUGCACAUUGGCAGCUCUCAAGCCAAAUCUGGCCCAUAGACAUGGUUUGCUUGGCCUAUAAUGUUAGUAAUACUUGACCCAAGAUUUAAAAUUUGAAAAGUUUCAUAUAAAAAUAUAGAUUUACAGCUUUUCUAGAAAAACUAUAAGAGUUAACAGUUUCUGAAUUGCAACAGCAGCUGGAACACCGUUGCCACUGACCAUUUAGAUGACUGCUGCAGUCCCCACGGCUCACUCUGGUUCAGGUAGGGGUUCUAGUUUGUAACCCCUGGUUUAAAACAUAACUGACUCUCUAGUUUUUAAAAUUCUCUCAAAAUCAAAUAACCUGAACUAGCAAAUGAUCUAGAUCCUCGUACAUGGAACUCAUACUAAGUUGACCACAGACAGUGGCUCCCAAACUCUGCAGUACAUCAGAGUCACUGGGAAGCUUUAAAAAAUCCUGCUCCCUAGCUGGGUGCAGUGGUUUAUGCCUGUAGCCCCAGCUACUUGAGAGGCUGAGGUGGGAGGAUUGCUCAAGCCCAGGAGUUUGAGGCUGCAGUGAGCCAUGAAUGUACCACUACACUCCAGCCUGGGCAACAGAGCAAGACCCCAACUCUAAAAAAAAAUCCUGCUCCCCAGGUGACAGUAUCUGGGGGAAGGAGUAAGGCAUCUUAUUUUCAAAAGAUCAUAAGAAAAGAGGCUCAUUGCUGAGGCUCACUCCGGAGCCCACUUGGAUUCUUCACAAGAAAGUUUCCCUCUUCCAGAAUUUUAUAAUUGAGGGAACCGACUAGGGAAAGAUUAAUUUGCCCAAGGUCAAACAACUAGUAAAAGAAGUAAGGAUUCCAACCCAGAUCUUUUGACUCUAUUAUCCUUACAUAUAGUUUUAUAGUGAUUUAAAUUGAUACAAGGAUAGGUUUAAAUACAAGUAGAAUGCAGGUUCAUAUAAAACUGAUUUUAUCCUCAUGUUAGAAAACAUAUACACUGUAACAGAGGGAUGACCAUCAAGUGACCAAGAUAUUUUAGUCAAAAGAUGAAUUUUUCUGCAAUUGGAGAAUGCCAAAAAUAUUCAAAGAAAAUAUAAGUCUUGUAGGCAGUCUUCUAUCAAAACCCACUGAACCGCUGGGCACGGUGGCUCAUGCCUGUAAUUCCAGCACUUUGGGAGGCCAAGGCUGGUGGAUCACCUGAGGUCAGGAGUUUGAGACCAGCCUGGCCGACAUGGUCUCUACUAAAAAUACAAAAAAUUAGCUGGGCCUGGUGGCGGCACCUGUAAUCCCAGCUACUGAGGAGGCUGAGGCAGGAGAAUUGUUUGAACCUUGGAGGUAGAGGCUGCAGUGAGCUGAGAUAGCACCACUGCACUCCAGCCUGGGUAACAAGAGUGAAACUCCAUUCAAAAACAAAAAACAAACAAAAAAAAAACAAUGCACCAAAUACUAAGUUAUUAACUAGGAUACUGAUUAUUAAGCAUGUAAAACAUUUUAUGGAACUCAGAGUUUGAUGUAAAUUGCUAUAUUUUAUAAUUCAAACAAACCUUGUUUCAUGUCAUUAUAUUAGAGUAGCAUUAUGAGACAGGAUAUAGUGUAAGCUAUAUCCCCAAUAUAAUUGCAACUGUAUAUUUUAAAGCAUGGGGAAAAUAUGAAAAGAAUUAUGCUCAAAUGUGGGUAGGAUUAUAACUGAUUUGUUUUCUUCAUUUUCAGAUUUUUCUAUAAUGACUAUACAUUAUUUUUAUAGUCAAAAAUAGAAGUAUUUUAAAUGUUUCUAGGUAGAAUAGCAAAUUAGCUGAAAUAGUAUCUCCAACGUUAUUAUCAAGACUAGACUCCUUGGGUAAAUUGGUCAGAACAGUGUUGUUCUCAUUUUACACCUCUCCAAGAUUAACUAUGUUUUAGAUUUGUGUGUGUGUUUGGUUAAAGAGCCAGGAUGAAGAUCCAGAGUUCUUAAACCUGUAUACCACCAUACUACAUUGUCAUUUUAAAGAAAUGUCUAGUAGACUCGGUGGCAUAAACAUGGGCCAUUUACAAACUAGAUGUCUAAUAUCAGAUACCUCAAAUUUGACAGUAGACUUUUUUUCAAAGCUAAAGUGGUCUUAUGUUGACUAUUUUGUUUCUUACUUGAUACUUGUUUACUUUUUAAUUUUUGGCAAGUAAUGUUUCAAGUUAAAGUUUUAGCUAUAUAUAGCAGGCAGUAUUUCAAGUAAAUGAGUUACAUCAGUAAACACCUCUGUAUUACUAAACUGAGAAUCAGAAAAUGUAAUCUCUUUGGCAGGAUUCGUAUGUUUGUAUCACGUCUUUAUCCUCAGGCAACUUUUAUCUUGGAAUACUGAACCAGCAGUCAGAAUAUGAGGGACAUUAGACUGUGUUAUAGUUACUGUUCUGUCCUUAAGUCACUUGCCUUCUCUAAGUGUCAGUUGCCUCAUCUGAAAAUGGAGUUAGCAGACCCCAGCCUAUCCUGAGUUUGAGGGCUAAAGGGAAUUAUUCUUGAAAAUGUCUAUACAUGAUAAAUGUCACAAAUAUAACUUAGCAUUUUUUUUUUGAGACAGAGUUUCGCUCUUGUGGCCCAGGUCGGGGUGCAAUGUCGUGAUCUCAGCUCACUGCAACCUCUGCCUCCCGGGUUCAAGCGAUUCUCCUGCCUCAGCCUCCUGAGUAGCUGGGAUUACAGGCAUGCACCACCACACCUGGCUAAUUUUGUAUUUUUUAAUAGAGACGGGGUUUCACCAUGUUGGUCAGGUUGGUCUCGAACUCCUACCCUCCGGUGAUCCACCCGCCUUGGCCUCCCAAAGUGCUGGGAUUACAGGCAUGAGCCACCGCACCUAGCCAAUUCUACUUCUAUUACAUUUUCAGCAUAUAUCACUUCAUUGCUCCUCCAUAUUAUUUUUCACUGGUCUUCUUACAUCUUGUGUGCCCAUAUUUAAGUAGUUUUCUUUCCAGGUAAAAAAUACAUGUGUGCCUAAAAGAUUUUAAAGUCAACUUUUCAUAAACCAUACCUAAAUUAUCAAAGUUAUUAGAAUUAUUAGAAAGUAUUAGCUAAUUCUUUUAUAAAAUGUAGACUUUAUUAUUUUAGAAAUAUUGAUUCCUCUCUAUUCAGCUAUCUUAAAGAGGGUAUAUUUUAAUCAUCGCAAUAUAUUACCUUCAUAGUAUUUUUUACUUUUGCAAAGUAUAUUUUGUCAUGUUAUUUCAUUUAGGAAUGCACUAAAUCUACAUAUCUACAUAUGAUUAUACAAGGAAACAUCUUUGUCUCAAAAAUGGGUUCUAUUACAUUUUUUAAUUUCCAGGGGUCAUGAUAUAUAAAAAGACCUGAUUUAUCUUAAAAAUACAUACUUUUAUUCUUACCUACCAUACAUCUUUUUUUGUGAUAAUCAGAAGGCUUAAUUUACUAUAAAAUAGGAAAACAACAGCUAUGUUAGAUUAUAUAGUUAAUUUAGGGAUUAAAUGAGUUAAGGUCUACAAGCCCCUGGCACAUGGCAGACAAUCAAUAAUUGAUCAUUUCCUUUGCAUCUAUAAAUUUGUUCAUUCACUUCUCAUGUGGUUCUACCUUAGACAACGAUUUUUGUUUACAGAGACAAAUAGAAGUAUCUAAUCCUAAAUAACCCAAUCAAUUGGUAAAGGCUACACUACAAAGCUGGCAUGACUUCACCAAAUGCUAGAGAAACAGUGUUAAGAGUGACAACACUAAAAGUCUUACACUCUGAUGAUGCUAGUUGCCGCCGAAUUGCUUCCCCUACCAGUUCCUUAAGUUUCUUCUUAUGAUCCCGGCUGGUUUUCUUAUAGAAAUAAAGAUCUUUUUCCAACUGCUGGAUUUUAUCUUCAUAUGUUUUGAAAGUUUCCAUAAUGCCUUCUCCAUCUUGUUCUAUACAACAAAAAUUUGCAUUUAAAAUCAGUUUUAAAUAAAUGAUGCAAAAUUAUGUUUUUGUUUGUUUCUUUGUCUUUUUGAAACGGAGUCUUGCACUGUCGCCCAGGCUAGAGUGCAGUGGCGUGAUAUGCUCGGCUCACUGUAAGCUCCGCCACCCAGGUUCACACCAUUCUCCUGCCUCCGCCUCCCAAGUAGCUGGGACUACAGGUGCCCAGCACCACGCCCGGCUAAUUUUUUUGUAUUUUUAGUAGAGACGAGGUUUCAUCAUGUUAGCCAGGAUGGUCUCGAUCUCCUGACCUCGUGAACUGCC
This 6478-nucleotide long non-coding RNA is filed under the name Homo sapiens (human). RNAcentral describes it as "HSALNT0151299". Lineage: Eukaryota; Metazoa; Chordata; Mammalia; Primates; Hominidae. The record is from RNAcentral.